RNAcentral lists this ribosomal RNA (497 nucleotides) under Podarcis cretensis. RNAcentral's name for it is "partial large subunit ribosomal RNA". It matches the Rfam family "Bacterial large subunit ribosomal RNA", at positions 1917 to 2613 of the family's 2925-position model. Lineage: Eukaryota; Metazoa; Chordata; Lepidosauria; Squamata; Lacertidae. The record is from RNAcentral.
GACUCUUUAAACGGCCGCGGUAUCCUAACCGUGCAAAGGUAGCAUAAUCACUUGUCCCCUAAAUAGGGACUAGAAUGAACGGCUAAAUGAGGACAAAACUGUCUCUUACGGACUAGCCAAUGAAAUUGAUCCUUCAGUACAAAAGCUGGAAUUAACCCAUAAGACGAGAAGACCCUGUGGAGCUUCAAAACCAAAAUCACUAAACAUGCCUCCUGGUUUUUUAGUUGGGGCGACUUUGGAGCAAAAAAAAUCCUCCAAAACAUAAAGUCAUUUAUUAAGAAAAACACACCAAAAAUAAUAUUAUAGACCCAGCAGUACUAGUUUACUGUCUGAUCAAUGAACCAAGUUACCCCAGGGAUAACAGCGCCAUCCUCUUCUAGAGUCCUUAUCGACAAGAGGGUUUACGACCUCGAUGUUGGAUCAGGACACCCCUAUAGUGCAGCCGCUAUAGAAGGUUCGUUUGUUCAACGAUUAAAGUCCUACGUGAUCUGAGUUCA